RNAcentral lists this unclassified non-coding RNA (161 nucleotides) under uncultured Thelebolus. RNAcentral's name for it is "sequence contains ITS1". The record is from RNAcentral. Lineage: Eukaryota; Fungi; Ascomycota; Leotiomycetes; Thelebolales; Thelebolaceae.
AUGAGAACUUGCCCUUCGGGGUAUACCUCCCACCCAUUGUUUAUUUUACCUUUGUUGCUUUGGCAGACCCGGCUUCGGCCCACCGGCUCCGGCUGGUCAGCGUCUGCCAGAGGACCUAAAACUCUGUUUGUUAAUAUUGUCUGAGUACUAUAUAAUAGUUA